RNAcentral lists this ribosomal RNA (429 nucleotides) under uncultured bacterium. Its description in RNAcentral is "partial 16S ribosomal RNA". It matches the Rfam family "Bacterial small subunit ribosomal RNA", at positions 30 to 507 of the family's 1533-position model. The record is from RNAcentral.
CGAACGCUGGCGGCAGGCUUCACACAUGCAAGUCGAGCGCCCCGCAAGGGGAGCGGCAGACGGGAGAGUAACACGUGGGAACAUACCUUUUGGUUCGGAACAACUGAGGGAAACUUCAGCUAAUACCGGAUAAGCCCUUACGGGGAAAGAUUUAUCGCCGAAAGAUUGGCCCGCGUCUGAUUAGCUAGUUGGUGAGGUAACGGCUCACCAAGGCGACGAUCAGUAGCUGGUCUGAGAGGAUGAUCAGCCUCACUGGGACUGAGACACGGCCCAGACUCCUACGGGAGGCAGCAGUGGGGAAUAUUGGACAAUGGGGGCAACCCUGAUCCAGCCAUGCCGCGUGAGUGAUGAAGGCCUUAGGGUUGUAAAGCUCUUUUGCCCGGGAAGAUAAUGACGGUACCGGGAGAAUAAGCCCCGGCUAACUUCGUG